GAACUUCCGACCAAAUGAAGAAACCCUUUCCAAGCAUUCUAUCUUGGGUCCAGGUGGACUUGGUGGACAGUGGCAGCCACCAAUUAAUGUUACAAAGGUUCAAUAUCCAAGCAAUAUAGAUUUUUCGCCAGUUGAAAUCCCAAGCUUCCAACAAUUUGUAGAUAG
This is a non-coding RNA of Camelina sativa (false flax), 165 nucleotides long. The record is from RefSeq and is a predicted model, not a curated record. NCBI's taxonomy places the organism in Eukaryota, Viridiplantae, Streptophyta, Magnoliopsida, Brassicales, Brassicaceae.